UCCUACGGGAGGCAGCAGUGGGGAAUAUUGCACAAUGGGGGCAAGCCUGAUGCAGCCAUGCCGCGUGUGUGAAGAAGGCCUUCGGGUUGUAAAGCACUUUCAGUUGUGAGGAAAAGUUAGUAGUUAAUACCUGCUAGCCGUGACGUUAACAACAGAAGAAGCACCGGCUAACUCCGUGCCAGCAGCCGCGGUAAUACGGAGGGUGCGAGCGUUAAUCGGAAUUACUGGGCGUAAAGCGCACGCAGGCGGUUUGUUAAACUAGAUGUGAAACCCCCCGGCUCCCCCUGGGAUGGUCACUUACAACUGGAACACAAACUGUGUUGGAGAGAAAGGAAAUUUACUCCCUGUAUUCAUUU
Molecule: ribosomal RNA, 356 nt
Filed under: uncultured bacterium
Lineage: Bacteria
Description: bacterial SSU rRNA
Rfam family: Bacterial small subunit ribosomal RNA
Source: RNAcentral